RNAcentral lists this long non-coding RNA (333 nucleotides) under Vigna radiata. Its description in RNAcentral is "long non-coding RNA (VRAD_LNC001530)". The record is from RNAcentral. Lineage: Eukaryota; Viridiplantae; Streptophyta; Magnoliopsida; Fabales; Fabaceae.
UAUGGGUUUGUUAACGUACGUUUGUUUUUCAGUUAGUACGUUUUAACAAUGUGUACCGGAUUAUAGUAGACAAAAAUACCUUCAUUUAUCAUGGAUUCUAAGUUUUAAGGUCAAGGAUAUUUAAAUAAUUUUCAAUCUCAAAACUGAAAAAAAAAAACAAAAAAGAAACCCCCAAACCCUUACUCACCUCCCUCAUUCCUCUCAACCCUUUCUCUUUCAUCUCUCUCACUCCAACAUUUUCUUUGUCAUCCCUACUAAUCCACCUUCCUCACUUAUCCAAUUUGUUUCUCUCUCGUCUCCAUACUCUCCCUCAGCCACACACAACAAUCCGUG